This is a long non-coding RNA of Acanthopagrus latus (yellowfin seabream), 775 nucleotides long. RefSeq lists it as uncharacterized. The record is from RefSeq and is a predicted model, not a curated record. The transcript has 2 exons. NCBI's taxonomy places the organism in Eukaryota, Metazoa, Chordata, Actinopteri, Spariformes, Sparidae.
GGUUGGUCGGCUCCGCUGGGAGCACAGAGAGGAUGUGCGGAGAUGUGCAAAAGGUAGCAGGCUGCAGGUUUCUCCUCGCAGCGACCUGGUGGGACGCUCGGUGGAACUACAGACUUGGACCAUCUGCUGUGGUGUCAUCGUUGAAAAAACCCCCGUCUGAAGUUUUUCUUAGCACAACUGUCUGUUGCCUUUGUCGGAGUUCAGCUUCUUGCUGAGGUGACUCAUUUCAUCACUCUGUCGGGAAAAGGCUGACACAGAGGCCUGCUGGGUAAUAUUAACCUCUGUUGAUUACGGCGAUCCAGCGCGUGUUUGUCUGUGGGAAGAGAGCUUCACCAAACUGGGAAGAAAAGAACAAAUCCAACGCUGACUUGACUUGACAACUUUAUCUCGGGGAAAUUAUUUAUUUUCAGUCAACAGCCGAGACUAAAUAGCCGCUUUAACUUUCCUCUUCCUUUGUUUGUUUGGGGGUGUUAUUGUUAUUUAACUGGAAGAAAAAGCUGCUGAGAAACGUUCCAUUUACAAAACUUUGACAGCCGACAGCUGAUUUAACAAGCUGUCAAAAAUAAUGGAUGAAUUGAUCUGAAAAUGUACGCAAACUUCUCCUAAAACGCCGAUCACAGUGUAGGCCAAAGUCAAGUCAAAGCUUUUCAACAGAUAAGCAUGGAAGAGCAUUUAUGAUCUCAGUUCGUAGCUAUUUUGUUGUCAUUUAUACCUGAAUACUGUGUUUUGGAGACAACAGCUGUAUUUUUUGCAUUUUGUAUUUUUGACACAUCUG